GUUGAUAGCCAAUGAGAGCUGUUUCUAAGAUGGCCGCUCAGAGAGAUGACGCAGCGUAUUGGCGCUCCACAGUGGGAGCGCUUGCUGGACGUCGGGGGCUGUCCCGGGGUGAAAACUAAACAGAAAAAGGCGGGGAUAGUUUGAUUGUGUAGGCAGCAACAUGAAGAAAACAAACAUACCCAGCAACACGGUGCAGGGCGAGGAGACGGAACGAGGUCGGCACGUGAAGUUAGCAGCUAGUUAGCACGGACUCUACAGGACAAUACUCCCAACCUGGAUGAAUUCUUUACAUCUGGGGACACUUCCGGACUACAGGAAUAUUAAUAAACCAGGAAAGGACGGGCGGUGAAGGUUUAGGAGCGCCUACAGGGUUUCGCCUAUGAGAGUUAAGUAGUGAACCCCAAUUAAGAAAAAUCAUUUGUUACCCCGGUUACUCGAUUUGAAACCACCGCCUUGGGGCAGACGUCAAGCUGGCAACCGGAGCAGGAAAGGAGGAGGAAGAGGAGGAGUUUGCAGCAGUGAAGGAGGAAGAGGAGGAGUAUGUGGUGGAGAAGGUUUUGGAGCGCAGAGUGGUGAAGGGAAGAGUAGAGUUUCUGCUGAAAUGGAAGGGGUUCUCAGAUGAGGAUAACACAUGGGAGCCACAAGACAACCUGGACCUGGACCUUAUCACCGAGUACAUGCAGACACACAAGGAGACGGAGG
Long non-coding RNA from Etheostoma spectabile (orangethroat darter), 702 nucleotides. RefSeq lists it as uncharacterized. Lineage: Eukaryota; Metazoa; Chordata; Actinopteri; Perciformes; Percidae. The transcript has 3 exons. The record is from RefSeq and is a predicted model, not a curated record.